RNAcentral lists this ribosomal RNA (253 nucleotides) under uncultured bacterium. Its description in RNAcentral is "partial 16S ribosomal RNA". It matches the Rfam family "Bacterial small subunit ribosomal RNA", at positions 524 to 776 of the family's 1533-position model. The record is from RNAcentral.
UACGUAGGGCGCAAGCGUUGUCCGGAAUUAUUGGGCGUAAAGGGUGCGUAGGCGGCGCGGUAAGUCGGGUGUGAAAUCUCGGGGCUUAACUCCGAAACUGCAUUCGAUACUGCCGUGCUUGAGGACUGGAGAGGAGACUGGAAUUUACGGUGUAGCGGUGAAAUGCGUAGAUAUCGUAAGGAAGACCAGUGGCGAAGGCGGGUCUCUGGACAGUUCCUGACGCUGAGGCACGAAGGUCAGGGGAGCAAACGGG